CAAUAGCGUAUAUUAAAGUUGUUGCGGUUAAAAAGCUCGUAGUUGGAUUUCUGCCGAGGACGACCGGUCCGCCCUCUGGGUGAGUAUCUGGCUCGGCCUGGGCAUCUUCUUGGAGAACGUAGCUGCACUUGACUGUGUGGUGCGGUAUCCAGGACUUUUACUUUGAGGAAAUUAGAGUGUUUCAAGCAGGCUUACGCCUUGAAUACAUUAGCAUGGAAUAAUAAGAUAGGACCUCGGUUCUAUUUUGUUGGUUUCUAGAGCUGAGGUAAUGAUUAAUAGGGAUAGUUGGGGGCAUUCGUAUUUAACUGUCAGAGGUGAAAUUCUUGGAUUUGUUAAAGGCGGACUACUGCGAAAGCAUUUGCCAAGGAUGUUUNCAUUGA
RNAcentral lists this ribosomal RNA (380 nucleotides) under uncultured eukaryote. RNAcentral's name for it is "partial 18S ribosomal RNA". It matches the Rfam family "Eukaryotic small subunit ribosomal RNA", at positions 592 to 976 of the family's 1831-position model. The record is from RNAcentral.